GAGGGUACAGCUUAGUAGUAAAGCGCAUGCUUAGCAUGCACAAGGUCCUAGGUUCAAUCCCCAGUACCUCCA
Molecule: transfer RNA, 72 nt
Filed under: Camelus bactrianus (Bactrian camel)
Lineage: Eukaryota; Metazoa; Chordata; Mammalia; Artiodactyla; Camelidae
Also listed under: 2 other names
Rfam family: tRNA
About the family: Transfer RNA (tRNA) molecules are approximately 80 nucleotides in length. Their secondary structure includes four short double-helical elements and three loops (D, anti-codon, and T loops).
Source: Rfam by way of RNAcentral